CUCGGCAACGGAUAUCUCGGCUCUCGCAUCGAUGAAGAACGUAGCAAAAUGCGAUACUUGGUGUGAAUUGCAGAAUCCCGUGAACCAUCGAGUCUUUGAACGCAAGUUGCGCCCGAAGCCAUUAGGCUGAGGGCACGUCUGCCUGGGCGUCACGC
RNAcentral lists this ribosomal RNA (155 nucleotides) under Origanum onites. Its description in RNAcentral is "5.8S". It matches the Rfam family "5.8S ribosomal RNA". From Rfam's summary of the family: 5.8S ribosomal RNA (5.8S rRNA) is a component of the large subunit of the eukaryotic ribosome. It is transcribed by RNA polymerase I as part of the 45S precursor that also contains 18S and 28S rRNA. Functionally, it is thought that 5.8S rRNA may be involved in ribosome translocation. RNAcentral also lists the same sequence under 2 other names. Lineage: Eukaryota; Viridiplantae; Streptophyta; Magnoliopsida; Lamiales; Lamiaceae. The record is from RNAcentral.